RNAcentral lists this ribosomal RNA (169 nucleotides) under Myrophis microchir (ordinary snake eel). Its description in RNAcentral is "partial 12S rRNA". The record is from RNAcentral. Lineage: Eukaryota; Metazoa; Chordata; Actinopteri; Anguilliformes; Ophichthidae.
CACCGCGGUUAUACGAAGGGCCCAAACCGAUAUUUAACGGCGUAAAGCGUGAUUAGAGAAUAUCAGAAACUAAAGAAGAAUGUCCCCCAAGCUGUUAUACGCUUACGAGAGACUGAAACCCAACAACGAAAGUGACUUUAAGACUUUUGAACUCACGAGAAUUAAGAAA